Molecule: ribosomal RNA, 487 nt
Filed under: uncultured bacterium
Lineage: Bacteria
Description: bacterial SSU rRNA
Rfam family: Bacterial small subunit ribosomal RNA
Source: RNAcentral
CGCUGGCGGCGUGCUUAACACAUGCAAGUCGAACGAAGCAGCAGUGAAGGAGGCUUCGGCCAAUGGAUCUGUUGACUUAGUGGCGGACGGGUGAGUAACGCGUGAGCAACCUGCCUUUCAGAGGGGGAUAACGUUUGGAAACGAACGCUAAUACCGCAUGAUGUAUCUUUGCUGCAUGACAGAGAUACCAAAGGAGCGAUCCGCUGAAAGAUGGGCUCGCGUCCGAUUAGAUAGUUGGUGGGGUAACGGCCUACCAAGUCGACGAUCGGUAGCCGGACUGAGAGGUUGAACGGCCACAUUGGGACUGAGACACGGCCCAGACUCCUACGGGAGGCAGCAGUGGGGAAUAUUGCACAAUGGGCGAAAGCCUGAAUGCAGCAACGCCGCGUGAGGGAAGACGGUUUUCGGAUUGUAAACCUUUGUCCUUGGUGAAGAUAGUGACGGUAGCCGAGGAGGAAGCCACGGCUAACUACGUGCCAGCAGCUGC